Molecule: ribosomal RNA, 497 nt
Filed under: uncultured bacterium
Lineage: Bacteria
Description: partial 16S ribosomal RNA
Rfam family: Bacterial small subunit ribosomal RNA
Source: RNAcentral
GAUGAACGCUGGCGGCGUGCCUAAUACAUGCAGGUCGAGCGAACGGACGAGAAGCUUGCUUCUCUGAUGUUAGCGGCGGACGGGUGAGUAACACGUGGAUAACCUACCUAUAAGACUGGGAUAACUUCGGGAAACCGUAGCUAAUACCGGAUAAUAUUUUGAACCGCAUGGUUCAAAAGUGAAAGACGGUCUUGCCGUCACUUAUAGAUGGAUCCGCGCUGCAUUAGCUAGUUGGUAAGGUAACGGCUUACCAAGGCAACGAUGCAUAGCCGACCUGAGAGGGUGAUCGGCCACACUGGAACUGAGACACGGUCCAGACUCCUACGGGAGGCAGCAGUAGGGAAUCUUCCGCAAUGGGCGAAAGCCUGACGGAGCAACGCCGCGUGAGUGAUGAAGGUCUUCGGAUCGUAAAACUCUGUUAUUAGGGAAGAACAUAUGUGUAAGUAACUGUGCACAUCUUGACGGUACCUAAUCAGAAAGCCACGGCUAACUACGUG